GCGCCUCCUGGGCGAUGCGGUACGCCGCCACCUCGACGGCGGCCCGCAGCUCGGGAAGCGGCUCCGGCACCCGGACCCUGACCGCGGGGCCGCCC
Molecule: transfer RNA, 95 nt
Filed under: Microbispora amethystogenes
Lineage: Bacteria; Bacillati; Actinomycetota; Actinomycetes; Streptosporangiales; Streptosporangiaceae
Description: tRNA-Ser
Source: RNAcentral